UACACGUAUACGUGGGAAACCGGUUCAGC
RNAcentral lists this non-coding RNA (29 nucleotides) under Homo sapiens (human). Lineage: Eukaryota; Metazoa; Chordata; Mammalia; Primates; Hominidae. The record is from RNAcentral.